CGCCUGUUUAUCAAAAACAUGGCCUUUUGUUAAAAAUAUAAGGUCUAGCCUGCCCACUGAAAAUUAAAUGGCCGCGGUAAUUUGACCGUGCUAAGGCAGCAUAAUCAUUAGUUUUUUAAUUGAAAGCUUGUAUGAAUGGUUGGAUGAGAAAAUAACUGUCUCUUUAAAAUUAUUUUUAAAUUUUAUUUUUAAGUAAAAAAGCUUAAAUGGUUUAAAAAGACGAGAAGACCCUAUAGAGUUUUAUAUAAUUUAGUAUUUAUGUUUUUAGUAUUAUAACCUUAAAUAUUAAAUUUUAUUUGAUUGGGGUGAUUGAAAAAUUGAAGAAACUUUUUUUAUAUUAUUACAUUAAUUUAUGAAUUUUUGAUCCAUAAAAAUGAUUAUAAGAUUAAAUUACCUUAGGGAUAACAGCGUAAUUUUUUUUUAGAGUUCAAAUCGAAAAAAGAGUUUGCGACCUCGAUGUUGGAUUAAAGUUAAUUUUUGGUGUAGAAGCUAAAAUAUUAGGUCUGUUCGACCUUUAAAACUUUACAUGAUCUGAGUUCAAACCG
This 545-nucleotide ribosomal RNA is filed under the name Acalolepta sublusca boehmeriavora. Its description in RNAcentral is "partial 16S rRNA". It matches the Rfam family "Bacterial large subunit ribosomal RNA", at positions 1797 to 2618 of the family's 2925-position model. Lineage: Eukaryota; Metazoa; Arthropoda; Insecta; Coleoptera; Cerambycidae. The record is from RNAcentral.